UACAGGGGGUGCAAACGUUGCUCGGAAUUAUUGGGCGUAAAGAGCUCGUAGGCGGUUUGUCGCGUCGAAUGUGAAAACCCGGGGCUCAACCCCGGGCCUGCAUUCGAUACGGGCAGACUAGAGUUCGGUAGGGGAGUCUGGAAUUCCUGGUGUAGCGGUGAAAUGCGCAGAUAUCAGGAGGAACACCGGUGGCGAAGGCGGGACUCUGGGCCGAUACUGACGCUGAGGAGCGAAAGCGUGGGGGGCAAACAGG
RNAcentral lists this ribosomal RNA (253 nucleotides) under uncultured bacterium. RNAcentral describes it as "partial 16S ribosomal RNA". It matches the Rfam family "Bacterial small subunit ribosomal RNA", at positions 524 to 776 of the family's 1533-position model. The record is from RNAcentral.